RNAcentral lists this ribosomal RNA (450 nucleotides) under uncultured bacterium. Its description in RNAcentral is "partial 16S ribosomal RNA". It matches the Rfam family "Bacterial small subunit ribosomal RNA", at positions 354 to 796 of the family's 1533-position model. The record is from RNAcentral.
GUGGGGAAUAUUGGACAAUGGGCGAAAGCCUGAUCCAGCCAUGCCGCGUGUGUGAAGAAGGUCUUCGGAUUGUAAAGCACUUUAAGUUGGGAGGAAGGGCAGUAAGUUAAUACCUUGCUGUUUUGACGUUACCGACAGAAUAAGCACCGGCUAACUUCGUGCCAGCAGCCGCGGUAAUACGAAGGGUGCAAGCGUUAAUCGGAAUUACUGGGCGUAAAGCGCGCGUAGGUGGUUUUGUAAGUUGGAGGUGAAAUCCCCGGGCUCAACCUGGGAACUGCCUCCAAAACUGCAUGACUAGAGUACGGUAGAGGGUAGUGGAAUUUCCUGUGUAGCGGUGAAAUGCGUAGAUAUAGGAAGGAACACCAGUGGCGAAGGCGACUACCUGGACUGAUUCUGACACUGAGGUGCGAAAGCGUGGGGAGCAAACAGGAUUAGAUACCCGAGUAGUCC